UACGGAGGGCGCGAGCGUUAAUCGGAAUCACUGGGCGUAAAGCGCGCGUAGGCGGCCGAUCAAGUCAGAGGUGAAAGCCCUCGGCUCAACCGAGGAAUUGCCUUUGAUACUGGUCGGCUGGAGUGCAGGAGAGGGUGGCGGAAUUCCCGGUGUAGGGGUGAAAUCCGUAGAGAUCGGGAGGAACACCAGUGGCGAAGGCGGCCACCUGGACUGCAACUGACGCUGAGGCGCGAAAGCAUGGGGAGCAAAC
This 250-nucleotide ribosomal RNA is filed under the name uncultured bacterium. RNAcentral's name for it is "partial 16S ribosomal RNA". It matches the Rfam family "Bacterial small subunit ribosomal RNA", at positions 524 to 773 of the family's 1533-position model. The record is from RNAcentral.